This 714-nucleotide ribosomal RNA is filed under the name Corynebacterium sp. VA38-3. RNAcentral's name for it is "bacterial SSU rRNA". It matches the Rfam family "Bacterial small subunit ribosomal RNA", at positions 21 to 749 of the family's 1533-position model. The record is from RNAcentral. Lineage: Bacteria; Bacillati; Actinomycetota; Actinomycetes; Mycobacteriales; Corynebacteriaceae.
UGCUCAGGACGAACGCUGGCGGCGUGCUUAACACAUGCAAGUCGAACGGAAAGGCCCAGCUUGCUGGGUACUCGAGUGGCGAACGGGUGAGUAACACGUGGGUGAUCUGCCUUGCACUUCGGGAUAAGCCUGGGAAACUGGGUCUAAUACCGGAUAUGACCUUCCUUUAGUGUGGAAGGUGGAAAGAUUUAUCGGUGCGAGAUGAGCCCGCGGCCUAUCAGCUUGUUGGUGGGGUAAUGGCCUACCAAGGCGUCGACGGGUAGCCGGCCUGAGAGGGUGGACGGCCACAUUGGGACUGAGAUACGGCCCAGACUCCUACGGGAGGCAGCAGUGGGGAAUAUUGCACAAUGGGCGCAAGCCUGAUGCAGCGACGCCGCGUGGGGGAUGACGGCCUUCGGGUUGUAAACCUCUUUCGACAGGGACGAAGUGAAAAUGACGGUACCUGUAUAAGAAGCACCGGCUAACUACGUGCCAGCAGCCGCGGUAAUACGUAGGGUGCGAGCGUUGUCCGGAAUUACUGGGCGUAAAGAGCUCGUAGGUGGUUUGUCGCGUCGUCUGUGAAAUUCCGGAGCUUAACUCCGGGCGUGCAGGCGAUACGGGCAAUACUUGAGUGCUGUAGGGGAGACUGGAAUUCCUGGUGUAGCGGUGAAAUGCGCAGAUAUCAGGAGGAACACCAAUGGCGAAGGCAGGUCUCUGGGCAGUAACUGACGCUGA